GAGUUUGUUGGGGACAUGUCCCCAUCAUGUUUAUACUGGCCCUAGGUUCAAACAAUGUAGGCGCAGCCCUGAAAUGAUUUUCUCACGGACACUGCUCGCGAGAGUUGCCUCCAGUCGUCUUUGAAGAGGGAGGAGUCCCCACACUUCACUCCACCACAUGCGCGACCUUUCCGAUCGUCGGACUGUGGCGCAAACUCUUCUCUGGUCGACCCAGCAACGUUGUAAGAGCCAGCGUGGCCCACGUGGAGGAUCGCCGUUGGACCACGAAUCGGUGGUGCUGGAAACUCACUCUGAGAACCGCUGGGCGAGACGGGACUUGGCAGAGCGUUACGAGUUGCGCUUCCGAACUCUUGCCCGGGAAAUGGAAUCGGAGGCAGUGAUCGACAAGUUGCAGUCGAGAUUCAUUUCUGUUGGGAGCGCUUCCGAACUCUUGCCCGGGAAAUGGAAUCGGAGGCAGUGAUCGACAAGUUGCUGUCGAGAUUCAUUUCUGUUGCGAGUCGGUCUUCAAUAACUGCCCGAGGUGGACCCAACUCGGACGUGUGGCGAGAACGGACGAGGGAACGUGCCCCACGGAGCGAUGAGAUCGCUUGGGCCAGAGGAGCGGGGUGGAUUGUUGCGUUGUGUGGACCGUGAGAGAUGCCCAUGACGUGCGGACAGUUUUAUCCAAGAAGUGGCUGAUGCUGCUGCUUCUGAUGAUCACCAUCAUGACCAAUUCACCACCACUAACCGAAAUCAAAUAUUUUGUCACGAUGUAUGUUUCACUUUUGUCGCACCUUAUGGAGCCAACCGUGCGAAUCAGAGGUGCGGAACGUACCGUACACCAUUUGCACAAAUAUUUCUCCACAUCCUCACUCAUGUGUACAUAUGAAUGGCAUUUCAUCUGUGUAGAUGCCACUUCGUACCUGCGCGGUCUUCAGUGUUGAGCAGUCUGCAGAACACGUGCUGCUGUAAACACUUCAUGUCACCUUUCAUUCUCAUUCAGCUACCUGCCCUUGCCUCUCCUAUCCCACCCCCGUUUUUGGCUGCCCAUCAGCUCCUCUCAAACGCUUCAAAACAAAUUGUACACGAGCCACGGCCGAGAGGGCAGGCGUCGCUGCAGACAGAAUGAACACCACCGCCCCACGGCACACUCGUCGUCAGCUCUCAGCGCAUCGCGCCACUCCAACUCGGCGAGACGCGUUAACACGGAGCCCAUGAAUGCGCGCUUUUUAAUUAUAAUCCAAAAAUGGAUGUAGCGAUUAAACGAGUGCAUGCCAAACGUUGGGAAAUUGCUCACGCAUCCUCGUGUGCGCAAGACGCGUUUUGUAUGCUGCACUGUUUGUUCCUGGAAGAUAUCGAACUGACUUAAGAUGCGAAUAUGUUAACAUUGUCAAGAAACUGGUCGGCACUUAUCAGCACAUUGGUACGUAACCAACUGUGGCAAAGCAAUCAGUGAGGAUAAUUCAUAUUUGGCGGAAAUAGCCAAAGUUUCCGCGACUAGAGUAAAAUCCUCAUCUGCAAGGAGGAGGGAUUAUCACAACUAGGCCACUGUCAAACUGCUUUGCGCUCGCAGUUUUUUUCACAUUUAAAUGAAUGCGAACUCACAGUGAGCUCAAUGUUGGCUUCCCGCCCGACUGCCUGCUGGUAAUGUGCUUGAACAAAAAAAAGUUUCUGUCUUGUGUUGCUGGGAGGGAAAGAAGAGAAUUCACAGGCAGCAGCGUGGCGUUGCGAUGAAGCACAUUUAAUGAGGCGGCGCGUUAGAGCAGUUAGCUAUGACGAGGUGUGGUUUGACCUACAGCCUUUCGAACGUAGCCAAUUUGUGAUGCAAUUAUGUUGGUAUUGUUAAUGAGAAGAAAAACAUUGCACUCGACGCUAUGUAUUCUUGCUAUUGCGGAUGUAGCGAAUUCCUACCGCCAAGUGGCGGAGAAUGGUAUUGGAGUCGUUGGAGACUGGCUUUCGCGACCAAUAUUGACUCACUAUUGAAUUCUAGUCACAUAGCAAUAGUAAAAUGACAAUGUGUGUCGUAUACCCUCCUCCAGCCGACACGGCGAAAUUAAUAAAGUUGGACACGUGCACAAACGCGCCGAUGUUGUAUUGCUUCAGCACAUGGGUUUAUUGGCGAGCAAUGCACAACUUUUCACAAGUAGCAUCAUCAGGCAAUUGUCAGAAUUGUGGAAAUCUUCUCAAGUCCUGGACAUGAAAUAGGUGGCGUGAGGCCACCGACAUGCCCGCACAGGUGAGCAUGGGGAGCAGGAAGCGAUGCCUAUAGGUUCAUGUGUUUGCGUAAAUUAUAAAAAAAAAAUUCCGGGAGAUUACAAUUGAUAGAUAUACUGAUAUGAAGGUAGGUGUACUGACGUGGUGAUACAUGUUAGACAUGGUUAA
Lethenteron reissneri (Far Eastern brook lamprey) is the source of this 2361-nucleotide long non-coding RNA. RefSeq lists it as uncharacterized. Lineage: Eukaryota; Metazoa; Chordata; Hyperoartia; Petromyzontiformes; Petromyzontidae. The record is from RefSeq and is a predicted model, not a curated record.